Molecule: ribosomal RNA, 468 nt
Filed under: uncultured bacterium
Lineage: Bacteria
Description: partial 16S ribosomal RNA
Rfam family: Bacterial small subunit ribosomal RNA
Source: RNAcentral
GACGAACGCUGGCGGCGGGCUUAACACAUGCAAGUCGAACGGAAAGGCCCUGCUUUUGUGGGGUGCUCGAGUGGCGAACGGGUGAGUAACACGUGAGUAACCUGCCCUUGACUUUGGGAUAACUUCAGGAAACUGGGGCUAAUACCGGAUAGGAGCUCCUGCUGCAUGGUGGGGGUUGGAAAGUUUCGGCGGUUGGGGAUGGACUCGCGGCUUAUCAGCUUGUUGGUGGGGUAGUGGCUUACCAAGGCUUUGACGGGUAGCCGGCCUGAGAGGGUGACCGGGCACAUGGGGACUGAGAUACGGAGCAGAGUCGUACGGGAGGCAGUAGGGGGGAAUAUUGCACAACGGGAGGAAGCCUGAGGCAGAAACGCCGCGUGCGGGAUGACGGCCUUCGGGUUGAAAAAAGCUUUAGCCUGUGACGAAGCGUGAGUGACGGUAAUGGGUAAAGAAGCACUGGCUAACUACGUG